Molecule: ribosomal RNA, 236 nt
Filed under: uncultured bacterium
Lineage: Bacteria
Description: partial 16S ribosomal RNA
Rfam family: Bacterial small subunit ribosomal RNA
Source: RNAcentral
UGAGGAACAUGACCUUCGGCGGGGGAUAGCCGGCCCAACGGCCGGGUAAUACCGCGUACGACCACAUGGGGACAUCCCUGAGUGGUGAAAGCAGCAAUGCGCCGAUGGAGUGCCUCGCGGCCUAUCAGCUAGUUGGUGAGGUAACGGCUCACCAAGGCAACGACGGGUANCUGGUCUGAGAGGAUGGCCAGCCACAUUGGGACUGAGACGACCGGCCCAGACCUCGUAACCGGGGA